RNAcentral lists this ribosomal RNA (253 nucleotides) under uncultured bacterium. RNAcentral's name for it is "partial 16S ribosomal RNA". It matches the Rfam family "Bacterial small subunit ribosomal RNA", at positions 524 to 776 of the family's 1533-position model. The record is from RNAcentral.
UACGGAGGGUGCGAGCGUUAUCCGGAAUUACUGGGUUUAAAGGGUGCGUAGGCGGCUAUGUAAGUCAGGAGUGAAAGUUUGCGGCUCAACCGUAAAAUUGCUUUUGAUACUGCAUGGCUGGAAUCAGGAUGAGGUCAGCGGAAUGUGGCAUGUAGCGGUGAAAUGCAUAGAGAUGCCAUAGAACACCAAUUGCGAAGGCAGCUGGCUAGACCUGUAUUGACGCUGAGGCACGAAAGCGUGGGGAGCGAACAGG